CAGAGGGGGCAAGCGUUGUUCGGAAUUACUGGGCGUAAAGGGCGCGUAGGCGGCCCUCUAAGUCAGACGUGAAAUCCCUCGGCUCAACCGGGGAACUGCGUCUGAGACUGGAGGGCUUGAAUCCGGGAGAGGGAUGUGGAAUUCCAGGUGUAGCGGUGAAAUGCGUAGAUAUCUGGAGGAACACCGGUGGCGAAGGCGGCAUCCUGGACCGGUAUUGACGCUGAGGCGCGAAAGCCAGGGGAGCAAACGGGAUUAGAUACCCCGGUAGUCCUGGCCCUAAACGAUGAAUGCUUGGUGUGGCGGGUAUCGAUCCCUGCCGUGCCGAAGCUAACGCAUUAAGCAUUCCGCCUGGGGAGUACGGUCGCAAGGCUG
This 372-nucleotide ribosomal RNA is filed under the name uncultured organism. RNAcentral's name for it is "bacterial SSU rRNA". It matches the Rfam family "Bacterial small subunit ribosomal RNA", at positions 526 to 896 of the family's 1533-position model. The record is from RNAcentral.